RNAcentral lists this long non-coding RNA (744 nucleotides) under Prunus dulcis (almond). RNAcentral describes it as "sRNA ncRNA". The record is from RNAcentral. Lineage: Eukaryota; Viridiplantae; Streptophyta; Magnoliopsida; Rosales; Rosaceae.
GAUUAAACAACAUAGAAAUUGUGAGAACACAAAAAAGAAAGUUGGCAUGUCGUUGUAGUAGUAAAGUGAGAGUAGACAUAUGACAGAGAGGAGACAGAGAAAUAACCACAUAGUGUUGAGUUGAAAAAUUUCAAAAAUAAAAGGAGAGACUAUCGUGCUGAUAACGUGUUAUAAAAUAACCUGGGAUAUGUGCGAUAAUUCAGAGCUGCACGUAAAGUAGAUGAGACACAGCAUUUAACGAGGUUCGGCUAUACCUACGUCCUCGGAGAGCAGCAGCAGUAACUUUUUCACUAAAUAAAAUAAUAGGGCUACAACUUUAGAGUUUACAAUAUGUAAGGCUCACUGAAGUUUCUCUCUGCUCACUCACCCUAUUUCUUCCUUCUCUUCCUCUUCUCUGCUUGACUCUCUUUCCUCUUUUCUUUUUCCUCUUCUCUUUCCUCUUCUCUCUUUCCUCCUUUCUCUUUCUUUCUUUCUGUUUCUCCCUUUCUCUUCUAUCUUCUCUUCCUUUUCACUUUGCAGGUUGCCUAUUUAUAGGCAGAUUGGUGCAACUCUCGUGAGUGUGCAGUAAGAAGAAGUUGCCGACAAACUCUACCAAAAGUCUCUAAAUGAAUAGUUAGUGGGCUCCACACAAAAACUUUACAACAACCUGAAAAGAAGAAAAGAAAAGAAGAAUAGAAAAGAAGAACUUACUUUUUUGAGGGGGAACAAAAGAAAAGGAAACUCACCAAAGAAAUUGUCUUCCCU